UACGUAGGUGUCGAGCGUUGUCCGGAUUUAUUGGGCGUAAAGAGCCCGCAGGCGGCUUGUCUAGUCCGAGGUGAAAUCUCCCGGCUCAACUGGGAGGGUGCCUCGGAAACUGGCAGGCUUAGGCAGGGAGAGGGAUGUGGAAUUCCGGGUGGAGCGGUGAAAUGCGUAGAGAUCCGGAGGAACACCGACGGCGUAGGCAGCGCCCUAGACGAGACCUGACGCUCAGGCACGAAAGCGCGGGGAGCGAACAGG
RNAcentral lists this ribosomal RNA (252 nucleotides) under uncultured bacterium. RNAcentral describes it as "partial 16S ribosomal RNA". It matches the Rfam family "Bacterial small subunit ribosomal RNA", at positions 524 to 776 of the family's 1533-position model. The record is from RNAcentral.